CCCGCCAUCCCCGCUUUCCCUCCUUCGACCCCUUGGCUCGCCCGCGUCUCUUUCUCCGUCCCUGAGUCGGAUGUUCUGAAACUGCGGCUUCGUGAUUGCUGGUGUUUCAUUGAUUUAACCUUAACCCCCGCGGCAAGGCAAGGUAGUUUGGGGCGUGUCCUGACGUGUCACGUUUGGAAGCAGCACUUUGCAAAACGCCGAAUCCUCCCCUUUGUCAAACCAGUCAAAGUUAGCACUUUAGGUUUCUGUGGAGGGUGUGGGGAGAGGGAGGAAAAGAGGCCGCUCGGGUCCCUAAGAGCAGUCCGCCUUUCCUUUCCUUUCCACGUCCAACUUGAGUCCAGUUCCUAUUAAUGCUUUGCCUUCCAGGGGCAGCUAAAGCUGUUUUAGACGAUAAGGGUUGAUGCUACCAGUUCUCAAUGUUUGCAUUUUAACAUGGUAUUUCCCAUAACUAAAAGGAUAACCUCACCGGGUACUUAGGAUCAAAGGAGAUUGCUGUGGAAUUGCUGUACAGCACUAUGUAUAAGAAUUUAAAAUCACCGAGCUAUUAAUAUAUAAUGGCCAUAAAGGGCCUCGGGGUUCAGACUGCCAGUCCCUGACUUUAAAUAUACAGUCUGCCGACACGUUUGUUCCUUUCACCGCUGGGGAUUUUUGUAAUUAUAAAAAUGGGAUUCAGAGGGUCCAGUAAUCCGCUGAAAUUAAUUUUUUUUAAAAACUUUGCAUCCGCAAAUCAAAAGAGGUCUAGAAGACUUGAGCUGGUAUAUGAUAGAUGCGAACCAGAAAAUGUUGAUCUGACCCUGAUGCUGGUUUACAUUGUCCAUGGUUGAGCCCUUUUUUCUUUGCUUUAUUCAUUAGCAUUCAAUUAAUUUUCAUACAGCAAUACAUUUAGGAUUGUCACUAAGUGCCUACUAUGUGCCAGGUACAGUUCUAGCCUUUGAGAGUACGGCGUUAAUGAGGCUAAGUUGGAAUAGAGCCCAAUAAUGAAAAAUGAAUAAACUGAACUAAAGAGAGAUCCUGAGUUGCGUUUGAAACCUAAAUUUUUAUAGUCCAGGCAGCCACAGUUUAUUCAACAAAGCAUGUUAACUUAAAAAGCAAAUUCUCCUAUUAGUUUACCCUCAAAAUGAGUUUAUUUGGGAAAAGCCAAAAGAAUUGCAAUUGAGGAUGUGCAUGUUAUGGCAAACCACUGGCAAAUCCAGAGAACGAAGGAGGUAAGUGAGGAGGGGCUGUCCUGAAGGGAAAGUAACAGUUCAGGACGGCAGCCGGCUUCGCAUUGGCCAGGCUGUUGCUGGUUGGGGAGAGAAAUCUUCCUUGUAGUAAAGGAAUUUUACUUCCUAGGGAAGGUGCUGGCGGUGGUCUCUUCCUGUUCCCUGUAAUCAAACAUGUAUGGCAGGGUGUGAGUGCUCCCCCUACAGGCCUUCCCAGCUCCUUAGUUAAGGUUUCUUUUAUUAAUUCCCACAAGCAAAUAUUUAUUGAAUGCCUACUGUGUUGCAAAUGAUACAAAGACGUGUGCUAAUUACUUUUGACCCUCAGGAAGUUUAUAAACUAGUAGAGUCAAUAAAAUAAAACCAGAAAUCUGAAACGUGUAACAUGAAUACCAAGAAAGUUACAGAAUGCUGUGGACGUCAGAAGAGGAAGAAAUCACUUCUGUGGUGACAUGGGACGAAGCAGUAUCUGUAAAAUAUUUAGCACAGUGCCUAGACAAGAGGUGUUAAGUAUUCUUGUUAUAGGACGACUUAGAGAAAGGAUGCUUGUUUGUUACAGAUCUUGAUGUCUAGGAAGAUUAUUCCAAAAGAGACUGAACUACAAAUACGGAUGUGUCUAAGAGAUACCCAGUAGUCUGGUCCAGCUAAAUAAUGUAUGCCGAAAGGAUUAGGCAGAAAUAAGUCUAGAAAGGUAAAUUAAGGGCCUAUUGUAGAAAACCAGGCCAAGGAGUUGAGACUUUAUAUCACAAGAAAUUAUUAAACAAGAGUAGCAUCAGUAAACUGACAGCCAUUUGUAAGUUAUAGAGAGAGAGUAUGUGACUGAGAAUGACAACAAUGGGAUGGAGAAAAGGGAGACUGAGAAGGACAUUUCAGAGGCAAAAUCUGUAUGAUUAGGCGACUGCUUAGAUAGGGUUGGGGUCUGCACAAUAUUGAGGAAAGUAGAUUGUCAAGCCACAAAUGAAAUUAAUAUUAUUGUUAUGACACCACUGUUUUGAACUUGAAUGGGCGUGCCAAAAACACAUGUAAGUCCACAAUAGGAACAAGAUAGGGAUGGAGAAGGAAAUUCUCUUACUUGGUUAUAUUUCUCCAAUUGUUUCUUUGGAUUUUCUAGAUAUUUAAUCAUAUCAUGUUUAUUAGAGAACAUUUUACACCUUUUUCCUUUCCAGUUCUUAUAUUUCUAAUUGUUUUCUCUAGUCCAUUGCAGUGUCUAACAUUUCUAACAUAAUGCUCAAUAAUCAUGGAGAUAAUUAGCAUCCUUUCCUUGUUCCUGACUUUAGCAAGAAGGUUCUUUCGUUUCUCCAUCAAGGAAGAUGCUGGCUUUGAGAUGUGAGUGUCUGUGUGUGUGUAUGUGCAUACAUAUAUUAUAUAUAUAUAUGUAUAUCAUGUUGACAUUAAGGAAAUAGCCACUAAUUCUUUUUGUGUUCAGAGGUUUCUUUUUGCUUUUUAACAUAAAUGGUAUUGAAUUAUUUUCAAAUGUAUUUUCUGUAUCUUUGGAGGUGAUCAUAUAAUUUUUCUCCCUAACUCUGUGCUAUAGACUAAAUAUUUGUGACCCCUCAAGAUUCAUAUGUUGAAAUUCUAUCACCCAUUGUGAUAGUGUUAAGAGAUGGGGCCUUUCACAGGUGAUCGGGUCAUGAGGGUGGAGCCCUCAUGAAUGGGAUGAGUGCCCUUAUAAAAGAGAUCUCGGAGAACUCCCUUGCCCCUUCCUUCAUAUGAGGACACAGUGAUAAGACAGUCCACCUGUGAGCCAGGAGGCAGAUUCUCACCAGACACUGAAUCUACCAGCACCUUGGUCGUAGACUUCUGAGCCUCCAGAACUGUGAGAAAUAAAUUUCUGUUGUUUCUAAGCCACCCAGUCUAUGGUAGUUUAUCAUAGCAGCCUGAAUGAGGCAGAGAAUGCUGUUUUUAUUAUUUCUAUUCCUUGGAUUAUUAAGAUCUUCUUUGUGGCCUGAAGAAUCUUUUUUGUGAAUAUCCCAUGUGCAUUUGAAAAGGUGAAUGGCUGCUCCUAAUGAAGGUAGAAUUACAAGUGUGCAAGGCUCCGAGAAAACAGCCCUUGGAGAGCAUCCUUCUGAAGCAAAGGCAGAAAGAUGUCUGCAAAGGUGCAGUCUCGAGGUAGAGGCUGCCACAGCUUGCCCUAGAGGUACACUUGACGUGCAUCUGCAGAGUGUGGGGCCUCAGCGGAUGCUGCUGUGACAAGAGCUGGAAGGAGGACUCCUCACAGAGAAAUAGGUCUUUCUGUAUACAGACCUUUUAGAUAUUAGAAGGCAGAAUGUAUCCGCUGCUUUUAGAAUGCGGGACAACUGAUUGCUUUGCUCCCACAAAACGCUAGUAAGGUUUUAGAAUUAAAAUCGGGAUUCCUCAAAUUCGACAUUUAGGUGUAAGCUGGACUACAGAACAAUAAUACUGAAUUCAUGUGGCUUAUCUAUGGGAUCAAAUAUAAAAAUGCCCAGAGAAUCAAUAGACAAACUUGAAAGUGACAGAGUGGGCAUGAAGACUAGAACCAAGCUGCUGAUCAAGCCUGCACUACCUGGACUGAGGAAAUGUGCCCGGGGUUUUAGAAUUCAGAGUGGAGGAGAGAGAGUAUCAGGAGAAAUUUAUACAGGCCACUCAGGGAACAGGCGUUCAAAAUCCCCAAAGUAGCUUCCAGUUCGGGAAUUUAUUGAGAGUGAUUUUCAAGUUGCAACAAAUGUGGAAAACCUGAUGAACACUUUCUCUCAGAUACAAGUUUCUUAAACCUAAGCAAUUCUACAAGAAGAGACAGUGGCAGCAGCCUCGGAGGCACAAGACUAAAAAUGUCGCCUUACAAGAUCCCGUGGAGGCCCUAUUCCCUUAGAGAGCUCUCACACAAAGCUCAGAUUGCCAGAAAUGUGAGGGUCAAAAGGGAAAUGGAAAUUCAGAUUUUUUACUGGACGGGAAGAAAAGUACCCUAAACAAGACCUGAUCACUGGGACUGUCUCCACUGCAAAUUUAAUAUCUUUUCAAAAAGACUUCAGUGUCACAAGUGUCACUCUCUGAGAGAGGAAAUAGUAAGUAUGGGUGGGCUCUUCCUUCCAGAUAUAGUAAAUUCAUCGUACCAAAUUAAGCUCUCGCUGAGAGAUUUCUUCCGUGUAAGUUCACAGUUAUGGAUACUGUACAACUGGCAUCUUUUGAUAGGCCAUCUGGUGAAGACAGAACCCAGAUUUUUUUUUUCACCUACUCUCCUAUGCUCAGAUACUACAGAGUUUCUGCCAUGGCUUUUGGCAAUAUUAGUUCUGGGUUCUAGGAAUGUAAUUUUUCCUGGGAUAAUUUCCAGGAGCAGGGAAUUGCUUUGUGUCCUUCGUUUGUUGGGUGUGGGGAUAGGGCUGUUGAUAAUCUUAGAAGUCCUACUAUCUCCCUGAGCCUUCUAAUAAGUGAGGAACAGCAGAGCCCUGGCAUUGAGCUAACAGGGCUUCUGAUGCCCUGAAGGUGUUACAGUCACUCGAGGGAGAAUCUAGGCUGGAGCUGUUGCAGGAACUCCAACGCUCCCUAGUUCCUGAAAACAACUCUGACUG
Molecule: long non-coding RNA, 4726 nt
Organism: Equus quagga
Lineage: Eukaryota; Metazoa; Chordata; Mammalia; Perissodactyla; Equidae
Exons: 3
Source: RefSeq, a predicted model, not a curated record